This is a long non-coding RNA of Ailuropoda melanoleuca (giant panda), 1504 nucleotides long. RefSeq lists it as uncharacterized. The transcript has 3 exons. The record is from RefSeq and is a predicted model, not a curated record. NCBI's taxonomy places the organism in Eukaryota, Metazoa, Chordata, Mammalia, Carnivora, Ursidae.
UGUGGAGAAUAUCACUAUCAUUUUCUCAGUGGUUAGGGUCUCUUAAAUGUCUCUCUCUGGCUUUGACUCUGUUACAGAAAUUGGACACCAACUGACCUCAGCUUUGGGAUGGGCAGGAUUGAGAAGAGGCAGAUUGCAAAACUGCUUUGCAACGACCAGCACAACCGCCUAAAUCGGACCGAGCCAGGAGACCAAGGGGACCUCAUUCCCGGCAGCAGGGAUAUAUUCGUGCCAAGCAGGCACCUGGCCCAGAGGAGACAUUCACCUGUGUUGAAAAGGGUUGAGUGGAUAAAGUACAUAAUAAAGGUUAGUGCUCACCCCACCCCACUCCACCCCUUUGUCUGUCACUCACGGCUUCCCUGCUUCGGGAGAUUUUUACUCACCUGCCAGAGGAAGGUGUUCCUUUGGGUCGGACUGGCUUGGGCAACAAGGCCCUCCUCAGGAGACCUACCAAUGUGAGUUCUUCAGAAGUAGUUUCUGGGCAGGGCUUAGGCUCUCACGCGCCUAGUCCCGCCCCUGGCCUUGCCUUCUAGCUCAGUGGCGCAAGGGCAUAAAUGGCCGCUGUUCUCAGCCUUGCUGCAUUUUCACUGAAGACUUCUGACGGCAGCAUGAAGUUGGGGGGCUUCUUCCUCCUGGUGAUGCUCAUAACCCUCAGCUCGGAGGUCCAGCAGCUCCAGGCUGCGGUGAGACCACUCCGAGUUCUGGGUAAGUCCGGGCGCGAGGCGGCCGGUUCUCUGCAUGAGGGAGCUGGAGAGUGGGCCAGCGGGGACAGGGGUGCGCAGGAAGAAGAAGGAAGAAAGGCGAGAAGGAAUGAGACUCUAGUCCAGGAGCCACCUUGACAGCAGCACCUCUCUCCUUCUGCCUCCACUCUUCCCCCCUCCUUUCCUUGGGUCCUCCCUUCAACUGGACUUUCCAUUCUUCCCUUUUGCUGCCCCAUCAGCCACUUGCCAUCUUCCCCAGCAUCUCUCUCCCCCAUGGGUUUCUUGGUCUCUUGCUGCAAAUACAUCAGCUCACUAGAGAACAUAUUUUCUUAAUCAUGUCAUAUGUGAAUCAUCUUAAUUUCUGCUUUUCCUUUUACCCCCAACAUUCUCAAAGGAGCAGUCUUAACUCUCUGCCCUAACUUCCCCAUAACUCAUUCCUUCCCCUCCUGAAGAUUAUCACCAUUUCUGUCCCCAUCAGUCUCCAGAAACUUCGCUCCCAGGAUCAGCUAACAAAUCUCUUGACUCUCAGCAGAAAAAGUCUGUAAGCUCUGCAGCACCUAACAUUGUUCGCCACUCCAUCAAUCCCCAAACUUUUUUCUCUCCUGGCUUAUCGUCACUGUAGCUCCUACUUCUCUCUAAAGAUUCUUGGAUUCAACUCUUACUCCUUUUCUUCUUUGCUCUUCUCCCCCACACUAAACCAGUUGCCAAAUACUGUCCAUUCUUUGAAAUCGUCUCUUGCGUGUGCUCCUUCCUUUCCACUCCCCAUUGCCACAUGGCCCAUCUAGCCCUGACUACCACCUGCU